GAUGAACGCUGGCGGCGUGCCUAAUACAUGCAAGUCGAGCGAACGGACGAGAAGCUUGCUUCUCUGAUGUUAGCGGCGGACGGGUGAGUAACACGUGGAUAACCUACCUAUAAGACUGGGAUAACUUCGGGAAACCGGAGCUAAUACCGGAUAAUAUUUUGAACCGCAUGGUUCAAAAGUGAAAGACGGUCUUGCUGUCACUUAUAGAUGGAUCCGCGCUGCAUUAGCUAGUUGGUAAGGUAACGGCUUACCAAGGCAACGAUGCGUAGCCGACCUGAGAGGGUGAUCGGCCACACUGGAACGGAGACACGGUCCAGACUCCUACGGGAGGCAGCAGUAGGGAAUCGUCCGCAAUGGGCGAAAGCCUGACGGAGCAACGCCGCGUGAGUGAUGAAGGUCUUCGGAUCGUAAAACUCUGUUAUUAGGGAAGAACAUAUGUGUAAGUAACUGUGCACAUCUUGACGGUACCUAAUCAGAAAGCCACGGCUAACUACGUG
Molecule: ribosomal RNA, 497 nt
Filed under: uncultured bacterium
Lineage: Bacteria
Description: partial 16S ribosomal RNA
Rfam family: Bacterial small subunit ribosomal RNA
Source: RNAcentral